GAUCCUGGUUCAGGACGAACGCUGGCGGCGCGCCUAACACAUGCAAGUCGAACGGAGUCAAGAGGAGCUUGCUUUUCUUGACUUAGUGGCGAACGGGUGAGUAACGCGUGAGUAACCUGCCCUGGAGUGGGGGACAACAGUUGGAAACGACUGCUAAUACCGCAUAAGCCCACGGCCCGGCAUCGGGCUGCGGGAAAAGGAUUUAUUCGCUUCAGGAUGGACUCGCGUCCAAUUAGCUAGUUGGUGAGGUAACGG
Molecule: ribosomal RNA, 255 nt
Filed under: uncultured bacterium
Lineage: Bacteria
Description: partial 16S ribosomal RNA
Rfam family: Bacterial small subunit ribosomal RNA
Source: RNAcentral